Molecule: small RNA, 68 nt
Filed under: Acididesulfobacillus acetoxydans
Lineage: Bacteria; Bacillati; Bacillota; Clostridia; Eubacteriales; Peptococcaceae
Description: Peptococcaceae bacterium INE non-coding RNA
Source: RNAcentral
GUUUCAAUUCCUCAUAGGCAGGCUAUCGGCUCACGGGUACACCGCCAGAAGAACACCCGAACACCGAG